GGUUAAGUGACUAAGCGUACAUGGUGGAUGCCUUGGCAGUCAGAGGCGAUGAAGGACGUACUAACCUGCGAUAAGCCGUGAGCAGUCGGUAAGAGACAUUACGACUCACGGAUUUCCGAAUGGGGAAACCCACUCAGCAUAAGCUGGGUAUCGCUACGUGAAUACAUAGCGUAGCGAGGCGAACCGGGAGAACUGAAACAUCUAAGUACCCCGAGGAAAAGAAAUCAACCGAGAUUCCCUCAGUAGCGGCGAGCGAACGGGGAUUAGCCCUUAAGCAUCUUGGA
This 284-nucleotide ribosomal RNA is filed under the name Aeromonas sp. SrichE-2G. RNAcentral describes it as "partial 23S ribosomal RNA". It matches the Rfam family "Bacterial large subunit ribosomal RNA", at positions 1 to 284 of the family's 2925-position model. Lineage: Bacteria; Pseudomonadati; Pseudomonadota; Gammaproteobacteria; Aeromonadales; Aeromonadaceae. The record is from RNAcentral.